CGAUAAUAUAUAGUUUGCAUACUUCACAUCAUUUAGACUGUUUCACAUCCAGACAGUUCUAAUCCAUUACCGAUGAUGUCAAUUGUACGCACGAGUAGUACAGGACAAAUUUACCGAUCAAUAACUUCCUCAUGUAUUCACUGUUGCCUGUUUAACGUUCAAAGACAAGUAUAUUGUACAUGUUCAGGACGAGACCUAAUAAACGUUUAAAGACAAGUAUAUUGUACAUGUUCAGGACGAGACCUAAUU
This 249-nucleotide long non-coding RNA is filed under the name Mytilus galloprovincialis (Mediterranean mussel). Lineage: Eukaryota; Metazoa; Mollusca; Bivalvia; Mytilida; Mytilidae. The record is from RNAcentral.